This 253-nucleotide ribosomal RNA is filed under the name uncultured bacterium. Its description in RNAcentral is "partial 16S ribosomal RNA". It matches the Rfam family "Bacterial small subunit ribosomal RNA", at positions 524 to 776 of the family's 1533-position model. The record is from RNAcentral.
UACAGAGAGUGCAAGCGUUAAUCGGAAUUACUGGGCGUAAAGCGCACGUAGGUGGAAUCUUAAGUCAGAUGUGAAAUCCCCGGGCUUAACUUGGGAAUUGCAUUUGAUACUGGGUUUCUAGAAUAUGGUAGAGGGAAGUGGAAUUUCCGGUGUAGCGGUGAAAUGCGUAGAUAUUGGAAAGAACACCAGUGGCGAAAGCGGCUUCCUGGACCAAUAUUGACACUUAGGUGCGAAAGCGUGGGGAGCAAACAGG